CGGUAAUUCCAGCUCCAAUAGCGUAUACUAAAGUUGUUGCAGUUAAAAAGCUCGUAGUUGGAUUUCUGCGGGGACGGAGCGGCCGGUCGCAACUUGCGACUCGAGCUAGCGCUUUCCCCGCAUCCUGCCGCGAACCGUGCUACCAUUAGCUUGGUGGCGCUGGGGAUCGGCUCGAUUACUUUGAGAAAAAUAGAGUGUUCAAAGCAGGCCACACGCCUUGAAUAAGUUAGCAUGGAAUAAUGACUAAGGACUUCGGUUCUAUUUUGUUGGUGUUCGGGACUGAAGUAAUGAUUGAUAGGGACAGUUGGGGCGGUCUGUAUUCCAAAGCGAGAGGUGAAAUUCUUAGACCUUCGGAAGACAAACAGCUGCGAAAGCGUUCCGCAAGGAUGUUCCCUUUGAUCAAGAACGAAAGUUGGGGGAUCGAAGACGAUCAGAUACCGUCGUAGUCUCAACUAUAAACUAUACCAGCUAGGGAUCGGUCAACGUUUAAUCAUUCGACUUGAUCGGCACCUUAUGAGAAAUCAAAGCAUCUGGGUUCCGGGGGGAGUAUGGUCGCAAGGCUGAAACUUAAAGGAAUUGACGGAAGGGCACCACCAGCCGUGGAGCCUGUGGCUUAAUUUGACUCAACACGGGAAAACUUACCAGGUCCAGACAUAGUAAGGAUUGACAGAUUGAUAGCUCUUUCUUGAUUCUGUGGGUGGUGGUGCAUGGCCGUUCUUAGUUGGUGGAGUGAUUUGUCUGGUUAAUUCCGUUAACGAACGAGACCCCAGCCUGCUAAAUAGCGCGGCUGAGCUUUGCUCGGUGCGAGCUUCUUAGAGGGACUAUGAUGCGCGAUAGCACAUGGAAGUUUGGGGCAAUAACAGGUCUGUGAUGCCCUUAGAUGUUCUGGGCCGCACACGGGCUACACUGGCGCCUGCAACGAGCAUAUCAGCUGGCCCGAGAGGGUCUUGGCUAAUCUUUUGAACCGGCGCCGUGCUUGGGAUUGACCAUUGCAAUUGUUGGUUAUGCAACGAGGAAUGCCUUGUAAACGCGAGUCAUCAGCUCGCAUUGAAUACGUCCCUGCCCCUUGUACACACCGCCC
RNAcentral lists this ribosomal RNA (1081 nucleotides) under uncultured Rhizaria. RNAcentral describes it as "SSU rRNA". It matches the Rfam family "Eukaryotic small subunit ribosomal RNA", at positions 577 to 1674 of the family's 1831-position model. The record is from RNAcentral.